Non-coding RNA from Salmo salar (Atlantic salmon), 3505 nucleotides. NCBI's taxonomy places the organism in Eukaryota, Metazoa, Chordata, Actinopteri, Salmoniformes, Salmonidae. The record is from RefSeq and is a predicted model, not a curated record.
GACGUCAAAAGCUACGGUAGCCUAUACACUGAGGGAAAGAGGGGUAGCGCGGGAGGGAAUCGUUAGAUAUUAAUAAGUAUAUUUUAAUAUAUGUGUUAGCCCUUAAAUGUCUAUAUAAAUGGACAACUGGAUUUAUCAAUAGCUGGCUGCUGCAGAAAUAGUUCUUAAGAAUAUAGCCUUGUAGCCUAAUUAUUGCAGAAAUUUGACUAUUCUAACAGUACUCAGAGACUGACUGACUGGCUUUACCGGAUUUGCCAAGAGUCGUGACGAGAGGAUAGAGCAAAUAACGGAUCACCAAGGCACCGGGUUGGGGAAAUGUGAUCUGAUGAUCGCUUGCCAAGACGUGAGACCUUAACAGGAGCAGCAACUCCACUGAUCUGUUACGGAUUCAAAACCGGGAGAGGGAGCGAUUGGCACAAAGAGCGGAGAACGAAUCGCAUUGAGCCUCCUAUUCCCCGAGGGAGGAUAACAGGAGACGCGCACUGAAGACAACAACACCACGGCAAAACGUGGAAAAAUAAACAAAAUAAUCUCAAAUUACUUUGGGGAUUAUUUUACAACGUGGAGUGAAGGAUCUCUUGAAAUCGGUAGGAUUUUUAAGACCAAGGCUCCAUAUUGUGUUUUUGUGCGCAUGUGUUUUGUGUGUGUUUUGUGUGUAUGUUGAGCCGGGGCGGACAAAGAGAUGAGCCCCCAUACGUUGACAUCCAAUGAGUGUAUGUAACCUACAGCUGGCCAAACAAAGAAACCGCUCACAGCCGCUCUACAGCGCUCAUCUACCGUACAAACUAUAUAUUUUCCUUUCCCCAGGGGCUCCGAACACUCUCACGUCCUAAAGCUCUGGUCGCUCCUCUCCAGAGGACCACGACUCUGCUCGCACUCACCCCGCUCUUCUCACCUCGAACCCCGCAGAGCGCCUGUCGUUCUCCCCGCUGUGUCCCGAUGAAGGAAGCCGACGCGAUCAAGCUGUUCGUGGGGCAGAUUCCUCGGAAUCUAGAGGAGAAGGACCUCAAACCGAUCUUUGAACAGUUCGGGAAGAUCUACGAGCUGACGGUGAUAAAGGACAAAUACACCGGCAUGCACAAAGGAUGUGCAUUCCUGACAUACUGUGCGAGGGAGUCAGCGCUGAAGGCCCAGAGUGCUUUGCAUGAGCAGAAGACGCUACCGGGGAUGAACCGACCCAUCCAGGUAAAACCAGCCGACAGCGAGGGGAGAGGAGAAGACAGGAAGUUGUUUGUGGGCAUGCUGGGUAAACAGCAGAGUGAUGAAGACGUCAAGAGGCUGUUUGAGCCCUUUGGUACUAUAGACGAGUGUACUGUACUACGGGGGCCAGAUGGCACCAGUAAAGGUUGUGCGUUUGUGAAGUACCAGGGACAUGCUGAAGCUCAGGCUGCCAUUAGCACCCUGCAUGGGAGCCGCACACUGCCUGGUGCGUCGUCCAGUCUGGUGGUGAAGUUUGCGGACACAGAGAAGGAGAGAGGGCUGAGACGGAUGCAGCAGGUGGCAUCACAGCUGGGCAUCUUCAGCCCCACCAUGACACUUAACUUCCCUGCUUACAACGCUUACACACAGGCCGUCAGCGCACAGGCGAUUGUCCAGCAGCAAGCUCUUGUUGCUCAGUCAGCGUACCUGUCUCCCGUAGCAACUGUUGCCAGUUUACAGAUGCAGCAGAUGGCAGCGCUCAACGCAAACGGAAUCAUCGCCACGCCCAUCACAUCUUCCUCUGAGUCUAGUAGCUGUCAAUCACAAUAUCUCCUCCACUGUGAUUGGUCCUCCCGGUUUGCAGGUACGAAUACCCCUCCAACCAUCUCAGCCACGCCCGUGCCAUCACUACCUCCACCUCUAGGAGUCAAUGGUUACAGUCCACCAACCAAUGGACAGCAAGCAUCGGAAGCACUAUACACCAAUGGCAUUCAUGCGUACCAAGCCCAGAGUCCAGCAUUAUCUCUAGACCCUCUCCAGCAGGCGUAUGCAGGCAUGCAGCACUACACAGCGGCGUACCCUGCUGCCUAUGGAUUGGUCGGCCAGCAUUUUCCACAGCAACCUACCCUGGUUGCCCAGCAACACCAGCAGCCCCAGCAACAGCAGCAGCGAGAAGGGCCAGAGGGUUGUAAUAUCUUUAUCUACCACCUGCCUCAGGAGUUCAGUGACAGUGAGAUGCUCCAGAUGUUUCUGCCCUUUGGAAACGUCAUCUCAGCUAAAGUCUUUGUAGACCGCGCCACCAACCAGAGCAAGUGCUUCGGUUUUGUGAGUUUUGACAACCCAUCCAGUGCCCAGACUGCCAUCCAGGCUAUGAAUGGGUUCCAGAUCGGCAUGAAGAGACUCAAGGUGCAGCUGAAACGACCUAAAGACGCCAACCGCCCCUACUGAAGGAGAGAGGAGAGAGAGAUCCUCCCGUCCAAUCAUAAUUCGCGGGGAUCCCAUCACUAUGGUUACCUAGCGACCGAUAAAGCCCCGACCCCCCUUCCUCUCACGUGUUGUGAAGUUUUCUGACUCCGCCUGUGGUGGAAUCCCAGCGUGCAUUGCGCCCUCAGACCUACUACCUUUCUUUUGAGCGACGGGGAACAGGACACACACACACAGACCACUCACACUUUGCACUCUAAAAGGACCAAGGCACAGAUAUUGACCAAUGUACAUAUCAUAGUCCUCACACACACAAACACACACAUGCUUUCAAAUACAUAUAUGUCAGUAAUCGUACCCAUUGAACUGGACUCAGUUUGAAAAUAGUUUGUGAGGAGUUUGUCUGGAGUGUGUAGGGCAGUGAAGAUCACACACACACACACGACCCAGGAAGUACUUACUAAAGUCAUUGAUGAAAUGAUGAAUAAUGGUGAUAUAUCACUUCUUUGGACCAUAACAUGUCAUAUAACAUGGCUAUUACAUGUGUAUAACAUGAUACAAAUAGGAAGGCCUCCAUUUCGUAAUAAAAAAAGGAAAACAGGAAAAAAUAUUGCGACAAAAUGAGUAGUUUAGAGAAACUUUGGAGAGAGAUCCUUAUGGCCUGUAAAUAAUUUAGUUUAAGAAGAGUAACAUUCCAAAAAAACGCAAAAAGAAGAGUACUUUAGAUAAAUCACUGAAAAAUUACACAAUAUUAUUAUUAUUGUUAUUAUUAUUAUCUUCGUUAGGGGAUAUUGUAUUAGAAAUAAAGAAAGGGGAGAAUCACAAACAUAUUUUCAAUUUCUACUUAGAUUUUAGGAUACAUGUGGGUGGGAGGGACUGCACCUUUUCUGAGAGGUUUUAAUAUUUUAACAAUUUUUUAUUUAUUGACUAAUUUAUCAAUUAUUUUUGUUAAUAGGGAGAAAUGAUGAAGGGUUUAAAGGGGUUACGAGUUUCUGAUUUUAGAAUUUUUUAGAGCAAAAAAGGGUCUGUUUCUGUCAGACUCGGUCAGAGUAAUUAUAAUUAUGAAUGAAUUAUUACAACAAUGAUAUUUAUUUCUUAUUUAUUGAGUCUGUUUUUGAUCCAAUCUCUUUUUAAGUUAAAAUAAAAAGUAUUAUACAUCAAA